Molecule: long non-coding RNA, 372 nt
Organism: Pocillopora damicornis (cauliflower coral)
Lineage: Eukaryota; Metazoa; Cnidaria; Anthozoa; Scleractinia; Pocilloporidae
Source: RefSeq, a predicted model, not a curated record
GCAAAAAUGAGUAGAACGUUGUAAGUCUUCAAAAUAGCUUUGCCAGAAUCAAUUGGGUUUCAUUUCAUUUAAGUUAAAGACCUGUCUAUUCGGAGAGAACAAGAACCUUUCCAAGAAUCUCAAAUUCUAUUUCAACCGACUUUUUUUUCACUUUAUAUAUUGCUCACAGCUUACUCUCCAGUAACAAACUUCAGCACUUGCCAAGGUUCAAAAACCUCUCCGAGUUAAAAAUAUUAUACCUGUAUAACAACAGCCUCGUACACCUGUCACCUGAUCAGUUCCAAGGCCUGUCCAAACUGGAAGAACUGGCUGUUUACGAAAACAAUAUUGACUACCUGCCACAUGAAGUUUUUAAGGGCAUGAAAAACAUGA